UAGGGUAUAGCUCAGCGGUGGAGCGCAUGCUUAGCAUGCCUCUGAGGUCCUGGGUUCAAUCCCUAGUACCCCUU
This 74-nucleotide transfer RNA is filed under the name Camelus bactrianus (Bactrian camel). It matches the Rfam family "tRNA". From Rfam's summary of the family: Transfer RNA (tRNA) molecules are approximately 80 nucleotides in length. Their secondary structure includes four short double-helical elements and three loops (D, anti-codon, and T loops). Further hydrogen bonds mediate the characteristic L-shaped molecular structure. tRNAs have two regions of fundamental functional importance: the anti-codon, which is responsible for specific mRNA codon recognition, and the 3' end, to which the tRNAs corresponding amino acid is attached (by aminoacyl-tRNA synthetases). tRNAs cope with the degeneracy of the genetic code in two manners: having more than one tRNA (with a specific anti-codon) for a particular amino acid; and 'wobble' base-pairing, i.e. permitting non-standard base-pairing at the 3rd anti-codon position. Lineage: Eukaryota; Metazoa; Chordata; Mammalia; Artiodactyla; Camelidae. RNAcentral also lists the same sequence under 2 other names. The record is from Rfam by way of RNAcentral.